This 783-nucleotide ribosomal RNA is filed under the name Lactobacillus sp. BS-09. Its description in RNAcentral is "bacterial SSU rRNA". It matches the Rfam family "Bacterial small subunit ribosomal RNA", at positions 24 to 778 of the family's 1533-position model. The record is from RNAcentral. Lineage: Bacteria; Bacillati; Bacillota; Bacilli; Lactobacillales; Lactobacillaceae.
UCAGACGAACGCUGGCGGCGUGCCUAAUACAUGCAAGUCGAACGAAACUUUCUUACACCGAAUGCUUGCAUUCACCGUAAGAAGUUGAGUGGCGGACGGGUGAGUAACACGUGGGUAACCUGCCUAAAAGAAGGGGAUAACACUUGGAAACAGGUGCUAAUACCGUAUAUCUCUAAGGAUCGCAUGAUCCUUAGAUGAAAGAUGGUUCUGCUAUCGCUUUUAGAUGGACCCGCGGCGUAUUAACUAGUUGGUGGGGUAACGGCCUACCAAGGUGAUGAUACGUAGCCGAACUGAGAGGUUGAUCGGCCACAUUGGGACUGAGACACGGCCCAAACUCCUACGGGAGGCAGCAGUAGGGAAUCUUCCACAAUGGACGCAAGUCUGAUGGAGCAACGCCGCGUGAGUGAAGAAGGUCUUCGGAUCGUAAAACUCUGUUGUUAGAGAAGAACACGAGUGAGAGUAACUGUUCAUUCGAUGACGGUAUCUAACCAGCAAGUCACGGCUAACUACGUGCCAGCAGCCGCGGUAAUACGUAGGUGGCAAGCGUUGUCCGGAUUUAUUGGGCGUAAAGGGAACGCAGGCGGUCUUUUAAGUCUGAUGUGAAAGCCUUCGGCUUAACCGGAGUAGUGCAUUGGAAACUGGAAGACUUGAGUGCAGAAGAGGAGAGUGGAACUCCAUGUGUAGCGGUGAAAUGCGUAGAUAUAUGGAAGAACACCAGUGGCGAAAGCGGCUCUCUGGUCUGUAACUGACGCUGAGGUUCGAAAGCGUGGGUAGCAACAGGAU